RNA transcript from Melozone crissalis (California towhee), 3677 nucleotides. It is a transcript of the gene named tropomodulin-3-like, with no coding region annotated. The record is from RefSeq and is a predicted model, not a curated record. The transcript has 11 exons. NCBI's taxonomy places the organism in Eukaryota, Metazoa, Chordata, Aves, Passeriformes, Passerellidae.
CUUCUGCUGUUCUGUUCCAGGCUUGUAAGUUUUGCCACUUUUCUGCAAUGGAUAAAAGAUAACUGAAUGUUUCAAUAAACAUUCAGGUAGCUUGCAUCUGAAGUUUCUUUUUGACUAAGACACCAGCAGGCAAUUCCUCCAGGAGCAGAUACUCUAUAUUAAUGGGCAGCAGGUUUCUAUUGAAGAACAUCCAGUUUUUCAUAGAUCUGGAUAAGCAUUAAGGCUUGGUUUUGAAGUGCUUGAGCAACUUGCUACUGCCCAAGUCAUGACGCUCCCAUUUCGAAAGGACUUGGACAAGUACAAAGAUCUGGAUGAGGAUGAAAUUCUUGGCAAACUUUCGGAAGAAGAGCUGAAACAACUGGAAACUGUUUUGGAUGAUCUUGAUCCUGAGAACGCGCUGCUGCCCGCAGGCUUCCGGCAGAAGGACCAGACUGCCAAGAAGGCCUCGGCUCCCUUCGACAGGGAGCGGCUCCUGGCAUACCUGGAGAAGCAGGCGCUGGAGUACAAGGACAGGGAGGACUACGUGCCUUUCACAAGGGAAAAGAAAGGGAAAAUAUUUAUCCCCAAGCAAAAGCCUGUACAGUCUUUCACAGAAGAAAAAUUCUCUCUUGAUCCAGAACUGGAGGAAGCCCUGACCAGUGCCACAGACACAGAACUGGGUGACCUUGCAGCAAUACUGGGAAUGUCCAACUUGAUAACAAACAAUCAGUUCUGUGAUGUAGUAGGAAGCAGUAAUGGGAUUGACAAAGACAGCUUCUCAAAUAUAGUAAAAGGUGAGAAAAUGUUGCCUGUUUUUGAUGAACCACCAAAUCCCACAAAUGUGGAGGAGACACUGCAAAGGAUUAAAGAUAAUGAUUCUCGUCUUGUUGAAGUUAAUCUAAAUAACAUUAAGAACAUACCAAUUCCAACGCUGAAAGAAUUUGCAAAAGCCUUAGAAACCAACACACAUGUGAAGAAUUUCAGCCUGGCAGCCACCCGAAGCAAUGAUCCUGUUGCUGUUGCUCUUGCAGAUAUGCUGAGACGAAACACAAAAUUAAAAAGUUUGAACAUAGAAUCAAACUUCAUCACUGGAGUUGGAAUUCUGGCAUUGGUUGAUGCACUGAAAGACAAUGAAACGUUGACAGAGAUCAAAAUUGAUAAUCAGAGGCAGCAGCUGGGCACAGCUGCAGAAGUAGAAAUUGCCAAGAUGCUUGAAGAAAACAACAAGAUCCUCAAGUUUGGAUACCAUUUCACACAACAGGGACCUCGAGCCAGGGCAGCUGCAGCUAUCACAAAAAACAAUGAUUUGGUCUGGAGUAUGCGAGUAAAAGUUUCUGCAAAUACCUUUUCAUCUCUCCAGCCCUGAAGCUACAGAGAAGGUUACUCUGAGUACCCACUUGGGUAUUGAGCACUGAAACCAAGAUGUUUGAAGUCUCUAAUUUCUUUCUUUUUCGGAAGAGAAGGGUUGAAGGGGACAAUUAGCAAAGCUGCUGCCAGAACUGUGGAGUCAGCACGGGCAGCACCGUGGGCUUCAGCAGCCUUGGACUACACUGACCUGGUUAGAAGGGAAAAGACUGGAAACCCCCUUCCUUUUAAAGCAGAGAAUAGAAACACCUGCUGGUAUGCAGCACGGUUUUGGGAUGGAUGGAGACACAGUAACUGUGCCAGUCUCUGUACCAUAGGUUUUGAUGGGGUUUUUUAAGAACUUUUUUUUGUAUUUCAAGACUUUGGCUGUGCUUUCUACUAAAAAUGUAAUUGCAAAUCAAUGGUAUAAUUGUAUGUAGUCAAAGAAUGGGACUUUUAAGAUGAUUGGGCAGAUACUGACCCAGCUGAAAUGUUUGUAAGAAAAUCUGGGGGUGUGUAUUUACCAGGAGGGGUGUGUUGUGUAUAUUCCUGACAACAAUGCUCUAGAGAAAAGGGAUUCUUCACCCAGCAGCUGCACUCAUGUUGAGCUGUUCAGCUUUGUUCAUCUGCACUGAAGAGAAAUCUUUUACAGCAAUGUUAUUUGUAAUUCUACUAGUUUGUUUUUUAUUUGUUCUUGAUACUGUAAUCAAGUUCAAAGACAUCCUUUCAAGCCAAACAAAAAUACAUUGGCUAAGGACUUCUCCCAAGGAAUUAGAGGGACUAAUAGAAAAUGGAAGCCUUGGAAAACAAGGAAAAAAUUCUGGAGUCUUGCAAAACGACAGUUUUUCUGUUACAUCUAAGUCCUUAAAGUCUUUUUCUAAAGGUCCCAUAACUGUAUCUUGCUCUGUAUCUAAACUGAAUACAUUUUUAGACUGAUUUCAUGUGUUCAUCAGCAUUAUUUAGUUUAUAUUCUUUGUUUAAAAAUUGUUAUCUACAUUCAUAAGUAUCAAUUUCUCUAGAAGUAAUGGACAUUCAUAUUUAAAAUUCUGCAUAACUAUACAGGAAAAGCAGCCUUAACUGUAAGACCACUGGCCUAAGUUACAUUACAUUAAGCUAUUUGUACUUCAUACAAAUCCAACAGUUUUCAAUAAUGAAGUAACACUUUUAAGAAAGGGUUUUUCCAUUCUGUAUCUGUCUUGAUGUUGAAACACUACCUAAGACAUGCAAAACCAAACCAAUAUGUUGUGUCAACUCUCUAGGUUGUAGUCAUUGUUGAAGUGUUUAAAGUUCUGUAAGCAAACUAAUAAGGCAACAAGAAUCACUUCAUCUUCUGUACAUAAUCACAGUACACUUGAAAUAUGCAAAUCUAGAAACUUUUUGGUGUAGAUCUGUUUGGACUGUCUUGUACUAGUUUGCUUUGAGUUCACAAAAACGUUCUACAGGACUGCUUGGCUGUAUUUAUAGCAACAGAGAAUUCAACUGACAACUGUUUUCAUCCAAAGAUCAUAAUGUGGUGAGCAUUUAUGUGUAGAAAACAUUGGACUGAGAAUUUUGCAUCAGGUUGUAUAUACUGUAAAAACAGAGCAAGUCUCUGACACUGUGCCCACACUGUAAUUUGCUGCAAGUCUUGGUUUGGAUCUUUAAAGACAGACUUUAUUCUGGAGGUGUUUUACUGCAACUGUACAGAGAAUUUUGAACUAUAGUGCCUUCAGUGAGGAUGUAUAUAACUGGUUUAUACUCAUGGAAGAACGUUUUUCCCCCCCUUCUUCUAGAUCAGUGUUUUAUUAGAAUUACAAAUAAAUAUGUGCUCUGAAAACCAAGUUGGAAUUAGUUCAGUUAAAACCAAAGACUACACUUACUGUAACCUCACAACACCUGAAGUGUUCUGAUGAAUAACAAAAAGGGCUUCUUUUGGUUUGGGCUUUUCAAGAACUUUUUAGAUUUUGAAAUAAACUUUGAAAUAGUUCUAAUACAAUAUGCAUACAAUCAGAAGUUAAGUGUAGUUUUACAGACAGACACUGCUGUACAAAGAUGGCCAAAGCAUGUCAUGUGCUGAGUUGCCUAAAGCUGCACUUUACUUUUGAUUUGCUAGGCACCAUUAUCAUUUUGUGUCAAAAAACAGGCUGUAAUGUCUUCCUUCAUUUGUUGAAGGGCUGCAUAUUCACAGAAUUGGUUCAUGUUUUGGGAUUCUAUGAUGAGUUGUUAUAUCACUACCUUAAAAGAUUAGGCAGUUAUCUCCUACUUGAAAAUGAAGGAGAAAACUGAAAGGCUGGAUUAUGGAAAUAAUAGCCCAAAUCCCUUUCCUGCUUUUACUUAAUCAAGUUUGGCAGGUAAAUUAUUAUAUUCCAAUCAAA